GGCCCAGCUCCUGGAUGUUACCGGCGCGACGGGUGAGUAACACGUGGGUAACCUGCCUGUAAGACUGGGAUAACUCCGGGGAAACCGGGGCUAAUACCGGAUGGUUGUUUGAACCGCAUGGUUCAAACAUAAAAGGUGGCUUCGGCUACCACUUACAGAUGGACCCGCGGCGCAUUAGCUAGUUGGUGAGGUAACGGCUCACCAAGGCAACGAUGCGUAGCCGACCUGAGAGGGUGAUCGGCCACACUGGGACUGAGACACGGCCCAGACUCCUACGGGAGGCAGCAGUAGGGAAUCUUCCGCAAUGGACGAAAGUCUGACGGAGCAACGCCGCGUGAGUGAUGAAGGUUUUCGGAUCGUAAAGCUCUGUUGUUAGGGAAGAACAAGUACCGUUCGAAUAGGGCGGUACCUUGACGGUACCUAACCAGAAAGCCACGGCUAACUACGUGCCAGCAGCCGCGGUAAUACGUAGGUGGCAAGCGUUGUCCGGAAUUAUUGGGCGUAAAGGGCUCGCAGGCGGUUUCUUAAGUCUGAUGUGAAAGCCCCCGGCUCAACCGGGGAGGGUCAUUGGAAACUGGGGAACUUGAGUGCAGAAGAGGAGAGUGGAAUUCCACGUGUAGCGGUGAAAUGCGUAGAGAUGUGGAGGAACACCAGUGGCGAAGGCGACUCUCUGGUCUGUAACUGACGCUGAGGAGCGAAAGCGUGGGGAGCGAACAGGAUA
Molecule: ribosomal RNA, 721 nt
Filed under: Bacillus sp. 52ND12
Lineage: Bacteria; Bacillati; Bacillota; Bacilli; Caryophanales; Bacillaceae
Description: bacterial SSU rRNA
Rfam family: Bacterial small subunit ribosomal RNA
Source: RNAcentral